GAUGAACGCUGGCGGCGUGCCUAAUACAUGCAAGUCGAGCGAACGGACGAGAAGCUUGCUUCUCUGAUGUUAGCGGCGGACGGGGGAGUAACACGUGGAUAACCUACCUAUAAGACUGGGAUAACUUCGGGAAACCGGAGCUAAUACCGGAUAAUAUUUUGAACCGCUUGGUUCAAAAGUGAAAGACGGUCUUGCUGUCACUUAUAGAUGGAUCCGCGCUGCAUUAGCUAGUUGGUAAGGUAACGGCUUACCAAGGCAACGAUGCAUAGCCGACCUGAGAGGGUGAUCGGCCACACUGGAACUGAGACACGGUCCAGACUCCUACGGGAGGCAGCAGUAGGGAAUCUUCCGCAAUGGGCGAAAGCCUGACGGAGCAACGCCGCGUGAGUGAUGAAGGUCUUCGGAUCGUAAAACUCUGUUAUUAGGGAAGAACAUAUGUGUAAGUAACUGUGCACAUCUUGACGGUACCUAAUCAGAAAGCCACGGCUAACUACGUG
This 497-nucleotide ribosomal RNA is filed under the name uncultured bacterium. RNAcentral describes it as "partial 16S ribosomal RNA". It matches the Rfam family "Bacterial small subunit ribosomal RNA", at positions 28 to 507 of the family's 1533-position model. The record is from RNAcentral.